RNAcentral lists this ribosomal RNA (271 nucleotides) under uncultured archaeon. RNAcentral's name for it is "partial 16S ribosomal RNA". It matches the Rfam family "Archaeal small subunit ribosomal RNA", at positions 477 to 747 of the family's 1478-position model. The record is from RNAcentral.
CAGCGCCACGAGUGGCGAUCAUGUUUAUUUGGCCUAAAGCGUCCGUAGCUGGUUAAGUAAAUCUCUUGUGAAAUUGUUUCGCUUAACGAAACAGCGUGCAGGAGAGACUGCUUAGCUAGGGACCGGGAGGAGUCAGAGGUAUGCUGGGGGGAGCGGUAAAAUGCAAUAAUCCUCGGUAGACCACCUGUGGCGAAGGCGUCUGACUAGAACGGGUCCGACAGUGAGGGACGAAGGCUGGGGGAGCAAAACGGAUUAGAGACCCGAGUAGUCC